Molecule: ribosomal RNA, 408 nt
Filed under: Symmetrospora symmetrica
Lineage: Eukaryota; Fungi; Basidiomycota; Cystobasidiomycetes; Symmetrosporaceae
Description: partial large subunit ribosomal RNA
Rfam family: Eukaryotic large subunit ribosomal RNA
Source: RNAcentral
UAGUCUCGAGAAGUGUUUUCCGCGCUGGAUCGUGUAUGAGUCUGUUGGAAUACAGCGUCAUAGAGGGUGAGAACCCCGUUCGUGACACGACUACCAGUGCUUUGUGAUACAUUUUCGAUGAGUCGAGUUGUUUGGGAAUGCAGCUCAAAUUGGGUGGUAAAUUCCAUCUAAAGCUAAAUAUUGGCGAGAGACCGAUAGCAAACAAGUACCGUGAGGGAAAGAUGAAAAGCACUUUGGAAAGAGAGUUAACAGUACGUGAAAUUGUUGAAAGGGAAACGUUUGAAGUCAGACGUGCGUUGUGCGAUUCAGCUCCGGUUCGCCGGAGUGUAUUUCGUACUAUUGCAGGCCAGCAUCGGUUUGGCGAGUCGGAUAAAGGUUAGAGAAAGGUAGCGGCUCCGGCCGUGUUAU